CUUUAGCCCGGAUAGCAGUGGAAAUCCUUUUAUUUUUUUUAAUAAAAGAUUAGCUCACUUAACUUUUAUUUCC
Molecule: small RNA, 73 nt
Filed under: Flavobacterium granuli
Lineage: Bacteria; Pseudomonadati; Bacteroidota; Flavobacteriia; Flavobacteriales; Flavobacteriaceae
Description: Flavo-1 RNA
Source: RNAcentral